CAGCAGCCGCGGGAAUACGUAGGUGGCAAGCGUUGUCCGGAAUUAUUGGGCGUAAAGGGCUCGCAGGCGGUUUCUUAAGUCUGAUGUGAAAGCCCCCGGCUCAACCGGGGAGGGUCAUUGGAAACUGGGAAACUUGAGUGCAGAAGAGGAGAGUGGAAUUCCACGUGUAGCGGUGAAAUGCGUAGAGAUGUGGAGGAACACCAGUGGCGAAAGCGACUCUCUGGUCUGUAACUGACGCUGAGGAGCGAAAGCGUGGGGAGCAAACAGGAUUAGAUACCCAGUAGUCCCUGUCUCUUAUACA
This 301-nucleotide ribosomal RNA is filed under the name uncultured bacterium. RNAcentral describes it as "partial 16S ribosomal RNA". It matches the Rfam family "Bacterial small subunit ribosomal RNA", at positions 509 to 808 of the family's 1533-position model. The record is from RNAcentral.